UACGGAGGAUUCGAGCGUUAUCCGGAUUUAUUGGGUUUAAAGGGAGCGUAGGUGGAUUGUUAAGUCAGUUGUGAAAGUUUGCGGCUCAACCGUAAAAUUGCAGUUGAAACUGGCAGUCUUGAGUACAGUAGAGGUGGGCGGAAUUCGUGGUGUAGCGGUGAAAUGCUUAGAUAUCACGAAGAACUCCGAUUGCGAAGGCAGCUCACUAGACUGUUACUGACACUGAUGCUCGAAAGUGUGGGUAUCAAACAGG
RNAcentral lists this ribosomal RNA (253 nucleotides) under Bacteroides ovatus. RNAcentral's name for it is "partial 16S ribosomal RNA". It matches the Rfam family "Bacterial small subunit ribosomal RNA", at positions 524 to 776 of the family's 1533-position model. The record is from RNAcentral. Lineage: Bacteria; Pseudomonadati; Bacteroidota; Bacteroidia; Bacteroidales; Bacteroidaceae.